Molecule: RNA transcript, 4941 nt
Organism: Gambusia affinis (western mosquitofish)
Lineage: Eukaryota; Metazoa; Chordata; Actinopteri; Cyprinodontiformes; Poeciliidae
Gene: cobl
Gene name: cordon-bleu WH2 repeat protein
Exons: 19
Source: RefSeq, a predicted model, not a curated record
UUUCUGUAACUUGAUAAUGUUAGAGGUUAUUCUGCCACUGGGAGACGGGGAUUAUAUCAAGUGGAUUUGACAAGUAAUAAACCCUUUGGAAGAGAACCAAUACAACUUCUAAUUUCUUAUGGAAGAGCGCUUGACUUAGCAGUGAUGUUGAGGUGUUAACGUAAUGGAUAUUCAGGAUAUUUAAAAGGAAGAGCGGAUUUUUGUGGGAGUCUGGCGUGUCUGGAGAGGAUAUCUUAAUCAGCGUCAUGACGGAGUCCUCCAAACCCCCUUCUGGGAGGAGAAUGAAAGUUCCUGCCCCACCUCCACCGCAGGCCCCCCAACCUGCUCCCCGUCACUUGUUCCGGUACUCUGUACCUGAUGGAGGAGGGACAUCAGCCAUGGAUGUCAAGGAAAACAUCCUAAGGCCCACCGUCAUUUUCCAGCUAACUCUUCCACAUGGCUACCAGGUUUCUGUAACAGAGGAUGGAAGUAAACCUUUGAUGGAUUUGCUGGUCGAUCUGUGUGGCCACCACCAUCUUAACCCAUCAAUGCACACCUUGGAGCUGCUUUCCCCCGAGGGUCACUCUUUGGGAUUCAAGCCUAACGCCCUGCUCGGCUCCUUCAAUGUGGCCUGUGUGCUCAUCAAGGAGAAAGUCGUGGAGGAGAAAGUGACGCGUAAACCAGCUCCUAAAGUGCCAGAGAAAACUGUGCGGUUGAUGGUGAAUUUCCACGGCAACCAGAAGGCCGUGUUACGGGUCAACCCGCUGGUUCCGCUCCAGGCUUUGAUACCGGCCAUCUGCGACAAGUGUGAUUUUGACCCUGCACAUGUCCUGCUCCUGAAAGACUGCACCAGUCGCCACGAGUUACCGCUGGACAAAUCUCUGACAGAGCUGGGCAUUAAAGAACUCUACGUGCAUGAUCAGAGUCUAGUUUUACAGCCUAAAAUGGCUUCUGCCCCUGUUCUGAACAACUCAGAUUCUUUUUAUUCCAGUACUGCUAGCCUGGGAAGACCCCAAAAGAAAGGAUUGCUAAAUAUUUUCCCAUUCAGCAAAAGGAAAUCAAAGACUGACAAUAAGUCUUUGGACAUGGAUGACUUUGAUGAUAUUGCAGUUCAAAACUCUGACACAAAAUUCAAUGGUCUGUCCACUGUGUCAGGGGUCUCUUAUAAAGAGGAACAUCCAGGCUCCCUGGAGCAGUCUCAGUCCUUCACUGAUAUUCCCACGAUGCAUGCCAAAGCUGAGUCCAAGAAGAGAAGGGCCCCAGCACCACCUGCUGUCCCAGUACCCAGCCAAGGAAACACAAGCUUUAAGAGCAAUCAGGAGGGCCCUAGUUCAGAAGGCCAAAGGAAGAGAAAGGCUCCACCUCCUCCACCCACACCUUCCCCUAUCACUCUGGAUUCUGAUGAUCCUUCAGCAACUGUUGUUUCCGUUUCCAAUCCCCCCAGCAUUGAAAUUCCCACCCCAGUCCCCCGUACCAGAACACCACUAUUGCACAUGUUCUCUGAGGACUCUGUGGUCAUGCAGACAGCAGACGUUUCUCUUGGUGGAAAGGCACCAAAACCUCCGCCCGUGCGCGAUGCCACUCCACCCCGAAGUUCUCCGUCCCCCAGCAGCAGCACCACCACAGACAGCCUGGUUGUGCAGGACUCCAGCUCCGAGCUCAGCCGCAGCCUUGACGACUCGGAUGUCGACCUCGACCAGGCCGGUUCCCGCUGCAGCACCAGUAGCGCGGCCAGUGGGCCUGUGCAGGUCCAGCUCACGAUAAAAAAGUCCAACAUGACGGCCACCCAACAAAAUAAAGAGAAAAGUUCUGACAGCAAUUCCAGGUCAGACUCUGAAUUGGCCCUGAAUCUCACACUGGAUGAAGCGGAGAACAACAGACACAGCGGAAUGGGUUGGCUUCAUUCCAAAAAGGCUUCAUCCAUUGUCCAGAAACAAGAAACCACGGCGCCUGAGGCUGAAACUCUUUCUCUAGGCAGCAGCAGCGUUGGCGGCAGCCUUCCCAACCAAGGUUAUACACCUUCUGAAGGUGCGGCAGAGGGCGAGGACUCUGGCAUCGUCAGUUCCCUGUCUGAUACCCAGAUGACCUCUCCGGAUGGGAGUUUAUCAGCUGAUGGAAAGAUGGGUGACACAGGAGAGAGAGUACUCAUUAUGGCGGCUUCAAGUGACAGGGAUGAAGAAAAUACCACUUGGGGAGAAAAAGACAGUGUCAGAAGCCCUCAUCCAGAAUCAGUCAACGGCUUUAAAGAAGACUCUGAGCUCACAAUCCAGCUUCAUCAGACUUUGGCAAAUAUGGAAGCAGGCCUUGCAGAACAUGAAGUCGUCAUCUCUGCCAAAGAUAGCAUUGAUACCAAGUCCACAGACAGCAGCGAUGUUCCUGUGUCUGUAGUGGACAUGUAUGUGCCAGUCACAGCCAUAGAUGAGGUACUGGAGGAAUUUGAAUUUGUUGUAGGGCAUGAAGUGAAACCUCUUACAAAGACUGAAUCAACUGACAGCAAAGGCUUCAUUCAUCACUCUGAUGAUGAGCAACAGAACCAAAACAACAGUGCUUAUACAGCUGCUCUUACCGACAAAAGAAGCAGUGCAAGUUCAAAACCCUCUGAAAAGUCUAUUGCACGACAGGAGAUCAAAUCUACAGGUAAUAAAAAGGAGAAAAAGGCAAAAGACAAAAAAAGUAAAGAGAAGAAGACUGCUGAAAGCGCCACUACGAAAGAGGACACGCAAACACUGGCAGUGAAAUCCAGUGCUGACCUGCAGAAGACCAGCAAGCCUCCUGUGACCACAGUUGACCUGGCGCAACAUAACACUCAGUCCUUCCAGCAGAAGAAGUUUGAACUUCCAGCAAAGAUUCAGAGAUCAGUUUCUCCUGGGAAGGAUGAAGUGACGCAUAAAGUAAACCAGAUCAGCUCUAGUGUCAGUCCACUGCAUGGUAAAAUUACUCACAAUGUCACAUCCCGCUUUGGCAUGAAAACAUUCACAGUGGUACCUUCAAAACCCUUUGUGACAAACAUCACCAAGACAGAGCCAACUGACUCAGGAGGUCGGUUUGCUAUUAAGAUCGAUGAUCAGGGGAAUAUGGUGGCAGCAGGCGUACCUCGCUUAAAAUCCAGAGAGUCACCUAGAUCGGAGAUUGAAAAUGGCACUCCUGUUUGUGAAAAUGCCAAAGCACUUUGGAGCUCUGACAGUAGAAAAGAAAAUUUGGUGACUCAAAGAAAAGGUCAAGUUAAUAAACUUAAGGAGGGCACAGAUGUCCUGAGCAUUGCCUCUGCUGUUGGCUUGGAAGGAAAAUUAAAGACCAGCAACCCUGAGUCCCAGAAAGCAACACCAAGACUAACGGUUGAAACUACAGUGGGAGUGAAAGAAGAUCACAAACUGCUUAGAAAAGACAUGAGUCCAAGCAGAGAGUUGGCCGAGGUGGAGAGCAAGAUUUCAGUGUCCAACAAUGUUCAGAGGCCAAGUAAUAAACCCUCACUUCCCCCUCCUCUACAUUCGGACAGAAAACAGCAACUCAGCUUUGUUAAACCAUCCAGGAGGACCUCCAGCCAGUAUGUGGCUUCUGCCCUCGCUAAGUACACCCCAAAGACCUCAACUAAACCUUCUAACAUCCCUAAAACUACAGACUCCCCUGACUCAUUGAAAACAGAAAAAGCUGAAAGUUCCAAGAAACCAGUCACUCAACUCCAAUCCUCUCAGGUAUCUUUGUCAGACAUUACAGAGAAUGACUCUGCUUCCACAGUCAACGCUACUUGUUCCAAGAGGUCUACGAGCUUCCCAGAGUACAUAUCAGACAGUCAGAGAGAGUUUGCUCAGGUGAAAGUAAACAGGGAACUAUUUGAAAAUGAUGCUGCGGCCAAGAAACAAGUUUUGGAUCCAGCCGACAAAGAAACAGCCAAGAAAAAUCACAGUCACUACAACGGAUCUCCACAAAUACAAGUCUCUAGCAACGUUAAACAAAGUCAACCUCAAACCCCCAGCCCGACAAAAAGCAGUGCUCUACACUCAUCUUUCAAACCACCAAUAGCCCCAAAGACCAAACCACAAGACCAGAUAGAUGGAAUAAAGGACGUAGUGAAGGAAGUGAAACUUCAAUCAUCAUUUGCAGUAUCAGACAGUACUGAGACACCUGGGUCUGUGGCAGGUGUAACCUUGUUUGGGCCUGUUAAAAAGUUCAAACCAGUCAUCUGUAAAUCUGUUGAGAAAGAGACAUCUCUGCACAGCAGCCUGAUGGAAGCAAUCCAGACAGGUGGAGGCAUGGAGAGACUGAGGAAGAUAUCCACUACCACCGACAAUGGUAAGAAAGUGGCCUGUGAUGAAGAAGGCAAUGGAAGAUCUGCUCUUCUAGCUGCACUUAGAUCUCAGAACAUCAGCAGACUGAAAAAGACGAAAUCUAAGGCCGCCAGUGAGGUUGAGCGUUUCAGGAAGGAGUGCUCAAAGGAGGAGAAAACAGUGGCGUUAUCCCCCUCCCCUCUGUCUUUGAUCAAACCUGCUUUCACUCCAACCCCACCACCUCCACCUAUGAGUGCACCUCCACCACCUCCUCCUGUAUUUCCCCAGGGUAAACCUAACCCUGUGGGUCAUUUAAAUGCCAACGCCCCCUUGAACCCUGCCCUGGCCAGGGAGGCUUUGCUGGAGGCUAUUCGCUCUGGAUCUGGUGCUGAGAAACUUAGAAAGAUGUAAUAAAAGUACAAAAAGGCAAAGUCAGGAUAGAGUCAGGGAAGAAACCUUGGAACAGCAGCAGAAAAAAAACAUGUUGAGCUGAAAGUGUCCUCUUUCAUCCCACCACUUUGGUCUGAUUUCAGAUGGUUUGAUCUCACAGUCAACAUUAAUGAACCCUGGGGAUGGAUUUCAAAAUGUAGCACAGAAAUAUUGAUGGUAUCUACCCCCAGAAAGACUGUCCAAGUGAAUGGCAGGCUGGGAACUAUUCAUAAAACCUCAUCAACGAUCCUUCAACAUUGAGCUGGUG